UUCGCAAUGCCCGAAAGGGUGACGAAGCGACGCCGCGUGAGCGAAGAAGGCCUUAGGGUUGUAAAGCUCUGUCGAGGGUUAUGAAAUGUAGACAGGCUAAUACCCUGUUUAUUUGACAAAAGCCCAAGAGGAAGUCACGGCUAACUCUGUGCCAGCAGCCGCGGUAAUACAGAGGUGGCAAGCGUUGUUCGGUAUUAUUGGGCGUAAAGAGCACGUAGGUGGUUUUAUAAGUCAGGUGUGAAAGCCUUCUGUUCAAAGGAAGAACGGCAUCUGAAACUGUAGAUCUUGAGUGUAGGAGGGGAGAGUGGAACUUCUGGGGGAGCGGUGAAAUGCGUAGAUAUCAGAAGGAACGUCGGCGGCGAAAGCGACUCUCUGGCCUAUUACUGACACUGAGGUGCGAAAGUUAGGGGAGCAAACGGGAUUAGAUACCCCGGUAGUCCUAACCGUAAACGAUGGGCACUAAGUAGAGGGGUUUU
RNAcentral lists this ribosomal RNA (476 nucleotides) under Candidatus Scalindua wagneri. Its description in RNAcentral is "bacterial SSU rRNA". It matches the Rfam family "Bacterial small subunit ribosomal RNA", at positions 365 to 832 of the family's 1533-position model. The record is from RNAcentral. Lineage: Bacteria; Pseudomonadati; Planctomycetota; Candidatus Brocadiia; Candidatus Brocadiales; Candidatus Scalinduaceae.